UUUUGGCCGUUGCAUCUCUCAAAAAAACUCAGACCAAACGCUCUGUCUUCACUCAGAUAAGGAAGAAGAAGAAGAAGCAGACUCAAACGUCAAAGCCAACAAUGGCGAUUUCUACUUUAACACUCACACAAUCUCUCUAUACACGUUCCUUCAGGCCCAUUACUCCUACAAUCAUCUCUUCUUCUUCUUCUUCUUCUUCGUCGUCGUCAUUCGCGUGUCUCUGUUCUUCUUCCUCUGAUUGCGAGCCGAAACUUUCUGCGAAGAAACGCGUUUUAGGAGUGGGUUUAGGGCUCUUAGCUGCUUCGAUUCUCUCUCUAACGCCUCUGGACGCAGACGCCACGAGGAUUGAGUACUACGCCACUGUUGGAGAUCCUCUCUGCGAAUUCAGCUACGCAAAAUCGGGACUUGGAUUUUGCGAUCUCGAUGUUGGAUUCGGUGAUGAAGCCCCUCGUGGCGUACUCGUCAAUAUCCAUUACACGGCGAGGUUUGCGGAUGGAACGUUGUUUGACAGUAGCUAUAAGCGAGCGAGACCACUUACUAUGCGAAUUGGGGUCGGCAAGGUUAUUAGGGGUCUAGACCAAGGGAUACUUGGAGGCGAAGGAGUUCCUCCUAUGCGAGUAGGCGGGAAGCGUAAACUUCAGAUUCCACCAAAGUUAGCUUAUGGACCAGAGCCUGCAGGAUGCUUUUCCGGUGACUGUAACAUACCUGGAAAUGCAACUUUGCUCUAUGAUAUCAACUUUGUUGAGAUCUACCCAGGAAGUAAUACGAGAUGAGGUCAAUCCCAAGUUCUCUUGGUAAAGGAAGAACAACUAUGUAUAUGAUGUAUAUCACUAGGAUAAUCACAGUGCAGGAACUGAUAUACAGAGCACUGAAGGUUCUUAGAGGCUAAUGUUACUCUGUUUACAUCUGAAGAGCAAGAAUUAUUUGUUGAAUAAGUCCUUCAAAAAUUGGUAUGUUGAGCAAGUUGAAUGUAUAGAAAUAUGUUAGGGAAUGACCCGUGUAUGCUGUGUAGUAGUGAUACACAUUUUUAAAGCUUUAUGUGAUCUGUACUAUCCUGUAAAAGCGAAAGAGAGUUGGUGAAAAGAGUUGGAA
Molecule: RNA transcript, 1092 nt
Organism: Capsella rubella
Lineage: Eukaryota; Viridiplantae; Streptophyta; Magnoliopsida; Brassicales; Brassicaceae
Gene name: photosynthetic NDH subunit of lumenal location 4, chloroplastic
Exons: 6
Source: RefSeq, a predicted model, not a curated record